Long non-coding RNA from Ictalurus punctatus (channel catfish), 612 nucleotides. The record is from Ensembl. NCBI's taxonomy places the organism in Eukaryota, Metazoa, Chordata, Actinopteri, Siluriformes, Ictaluridae.
CGGGAACCUUGUUUUUACAUAUCUAGUCCCGUCUUCGAUGCUUGUACCGGGAUAUUGCCUCCUUUUUAUUUUUGAUAUGGGUGUUACUCCCCAUCCCGUCAGCUUUUGGAUGAUGACUUCAUCGUCCAGGUAAACAGGAUUCUUCCUUCCCCGAUUUUCUACGCCACCGUUUUUAUGAUGUCCGCCGCUCUGGCUUCCUACACAUUCCCCAGAUCCACCGUCACGGUUGCCUCCUUCAUAUAAAUUCUCUUCCCGCCUUCCUUUUUUUCCAGCUUCCCUUUUCCGUCAUCAUCGUCGUUGGUCGUUGUUCCAUUCCGAGUUCUUUUCCACGCCGUAUUUCGUCCGCCAUUGCCGUAUUCGUCGUUCUUAAGCCGUCCUUUUUUAUACCAACAAAGAAAACACACAAAAAAAACAAAGAAAGGACGCAAACUAAGCUCGGAAAGCUCCUCCCAAACAGCCUGCGCUGCCGGGAGGAACAAAUAAACAAACAAACAAACAAACAAAAAACACUAAUGAAAAUAAUUAGGUAUUUAACCACAAAAAAAUAAGCACAAAGAUUUCGGUGAGCCUCUCUCACCAACUGCAGCCAACUCACUACUACACAGGUGCUAC